RNAcentral lists this transfer-messenger RNA (398 nucleotides) under Bacteroidaceae bacterium. It matches the Rfam family "transfer-messenger RNA". Rfam says of the family: Bacterial tmRNA, also known as 10Sa RNA or SsrA, is named for its dual tRNA and mRNA-like properties. Its role is to liberate the mRNA from a stalled ribosome. To accomplish this part of the tmRNA is used as a reading frame that ends in a translation stop signal. The record is from RNAcentral. Lineage: Bacteria; Pseudomonadati; Bacteroidota; Bacteroidia; Bacteroidales; Bacteroidaceae.
GGGGCUAUCUGGAUUUGACAGCGGGUAGAAAAGGUAUGUAAGCACGCAGUGCCUCGUUGGUUCGCACUAUAAUCUGAGCCCGCAAGAAUUUAUCUGGCAACAAUAACUACGCUCUUGCUGCUUAAUCGAAGUAUAGUAGAUUAGCUUUAUCCCUGCACCAGGUGCGGGGACGAGACAUCACCCGGACACUGUUGUUCCGAAGUAAUCCGACCCGGUGGUGCAGGCAAAUCGGGACUAACCGUUGCAGGCCUCGAUGCAACGGCGACAUUUCAGAGGAUAAGGCGCAGGUUGGCGGUCGCGGUCUUACCUGUGCACGAAAACCUUACCGAUGACUAAGCGUGUAGAAAGCAUAUGGUUUCCCUGUUUGGACGAGGGUUCGACUCCCUCUAGCUCCACAU